This is a non-coding RNA of Mycena epipterygia, 95 nucleotides long. NCBI's taxonomy places the organism in Eukaryota, Fungi, Basidiomycota, Agaricomycetes, Agaricales, Mycenaceae. The record is from the annotation of a GenBank genome assembly.
CACCCGGUUGCACAAGGUGUGCGUCUGCUAAACUUAAUAGCCACUUGAGUUUCAAUUUCAGCAAAAGGUUCUCGGUUCGAUUCCGGGUCGGGUGG